Molecule: ribosomal RNA, 489 nt
Filed under: uncultured bacterium
Lineage: Bacteria
Description: partial 16S ribosomal RNA
Rfam family: Bacterial small subunit ribosomal RNA
Source: RNAcentral
GAUGAACGCUAGCUACAGGCUUAACACAUGCAAGUCGCGGGGCAGCAUGGGGGUUGCUUGCAAUCCCUGAUGGCGACCGGCGCACGGGUGAGUAACGCGUAUCCAACCUGCCCUUCACCACGGGAUAACCCGGCGAAAGUCGGACUAAUACCGUAUGUUGUCCAUUGACGGCAUCCGAUUUGGACGAAAGGCUUAGCGGUGAGGGAUGGGGAUGCGUCCGAUUAGCUUGACGGCGGGGUAACGGCCCACCGUGGCUACGAUCGGUAGGGGUUCUGAGAGGAAGGUCCCCCACACUGGAACUGAGACACGGUCCAGACUCCUACGGGAGGCAGCAGUGAGGAAUAUUGGUCAAUGGGCGUAAGCCUGAACCAGCCAAGUAGCGUGCAGGAUGACGGCCCUAUGGGUUGUAAACUGCUUUUAUGCGGGGAUAAAGGGACCCACGUGUGGGUUUUUGCAGGGACCGCAUGAAUAAGGACCGGCUAAUUCCGU